RNAcentral lists this non-coding RNA (157 nucleotides) under uncultured Parabacteroides sp. The record is from RNAcentral. Lineage: Bacteria; Pseudomonadati; Bacteroidota; Bacteroidia; Bacteroidales; Tannerellaceae.
UCUGGAUAUGGGAUUAAAAGGGAACCGGGUGGAAAUCCCAGACAGACCACGCUGCUGUGAAACUUCGGGAACAUACCGGCAAUACUCUAUGCCACUGAUCGGGGGAUCGGGAAGGUGUCCGGGAUGGAAGUAAGUCAGAAGACCUGCCGUUUCGGUU